GUGGCAGCCGCCGCGGUAAUACGAAGGGACCUAGCGUAGUUCGGAAUUACUGGGCUUAAAGAGUUCGUAGGUGGUUAAAAAAGUUGGUGGUGAAAUCCCAGAGCUUAACUCUGGAACUGCCAUCAAAACUUUUUAGCUAGAGUAUGAUAGAGGAAAGCAGAAUUUCUAGUGUAGAGGUGAAAUUCGUAGAUAUUAGAAAGAAUACCAAUUGCGAAGGCAGCUUUCUGGAUCAUUACUGACACUGAGGAACGAAAGCAUGGGUAGCGAAGAGGAUUAGAUACCCUCGUAGUCCAUGCCGUAAACGAUGUGUGUUAGAUGUUGGAAAUUUAUUUUCAGUAUCGCAGCGAAAGCAAUAAACACACCGCCUGGGGAGUACGACCGCAAGGUUAAAACUCAAAUGAAUUGACGGGGACCCGCACAAGUAGUGGAGCAUGUGGUUUAAUUCGAAGAUACGCGCAGAACCUUACCAACACUUGACAUGUUCGUUUCGACUCUAAGAGAUUAGAGUUUUCGGUUCGGCCGGACGAAACACAGGUGCUGCAUGGCUGUCGUCAGCUCGUGUCGUGAGAUGUUGGGUUAAGUCCCGCAACGAGCGCAACCCUUACUUUUAGUUGCCACCAUUUAGUUGGGCACUCUGAAAGAACUGCCAGUGAUAAGCUGGAGGAAGGUGGGGAUGACGUCAAGUCCUCAUGGCCCUUAUGCGUUGGGCUACACACGUGCUACAAUGGCAUUUACAAUAGGAAGCAAGAUGGCGACAUUAAGCAAAUCCUAAAAAAAUGCCUCAGUUCGGAUUGUACUCUGCAACUCGAGUACAUGAAGCUGGAAUUACUAGUAAUCGCGGAUCAGCGCGCCGCGGUGAAUACGUUCCCGGGUCUUGCACACACCGCCCGUC
RNAcentral lists this ribosomal RNA (892 nucleotides) under uncultured bacterium. Its description in RNAcentral is "bacterial SSU rRNA". It matches the Rfam family "Bacterial small subunit ribosomal RNA", at positions 505 to 1398 of the family's 1533-position model. The record is from RNAcentral.